CCUACGGGAGGCAGCAGUAAGGAAUAUUGGUCAAUGGAGGCAACUCUGAACCAGCCAUGCCGCGUGCAGGAAGAAGGCCCUAUGGGUCGUAAACUGCUUUUGUACCAGAGAAAACCCGAGUACGUGUACUCGGUUGAUAGUAUGGUAAGAAUAAGCAUCGGCUAACUUCGUGCCAGCAGCCGCGGUAAGACGAAGGAUGCAAGCGUUAUCCGGAUUCAUUGGGUUUAAAGGGUGCGUAGGCGGACUGAUAAGUCAGUGGUGAAAUCUCUCGGCUUAACCGAGAAACUGCCAUUGAUACUGUUAGUCUAGAGUAUAGAUGACGUUGGCGGAAUAUGACAUGUAGUGGUGAAAUACUUAGAUAUGUCAUAGAACACCGAUUGCGAAGGCAGCUAACGAAACUAUAACUGACGCUGAGGCACGAAAGUGCGGGGAUCAAACAGGAUUAGAUACCCUGGUAGUCCGCACCGUAAACGAUGAUUACUCGUUGUUGGCAAUAUGACCGUCAGCGACCAAGCGAAAGCGAUAAGUAAUCCACCUGGGGAGUACGCGGCAACGGUGAAACUUAAAGGAAUUGACGGCNGAGAGAGCGACGACGACGACGAGGGAGGAGG
Molecule: ribosomal RNA, 611 nt
Filed under: uncultured bacterium
Lineage: Bacteria
Description: bacterial SSU rRNA
Rfam family: Bacterial small subunit ribosomal RNA
Source: RNAcentral